RNAcentral lists this unclassified non-coding RNA (240 nucleotides) under soil metagenome. Its description in RNAcentral is "partial contains 5.8S ribosomal RNA, internal transcribed spacer 2, and large subunit ribosomal RNA". The record is from RNAcentral.
AACCAUUCUCACCUGCGGCUAGACCUGCGGAAGGAUCAUUAUUGAUUUUUAACAGGAUGUGCUGGCUCUCAAGGGGGCAAUGUGCACUCCUAAUAAAACCAAUAUCCACCUGUGCACCUUAAGUAGACUAGUAGGACUCAUCACAGUCUUUCCAGUCUAUGUUCCUUCACAAACCUUUUGAAAUGUAAAUGAAUGAUCAUCUGUAUAAUUAAUAACAACUUUUAACAACGGAUCUCAGAU